AUUGAACGCUGGCGGAAUGCUUUACACAUGCAAGUCGAACGGCAGCACGGGGGCAACCCUGGUGGCGAGUGGCGAACGGCUGAGUAACGCGUAGGUGACCUGCCCCGAAGUGGGGGAUAACUGCCCGAAAGGGUGGCUAAUACCGCAUGUGGUGGUUCGUUCAUUCGAACUAUCAAAGCAGCAAUGCGCUUCGGGAGGGGCCUGCGUCCGAUUAGCUCGUUGGUGGGGAACGGCUCACCAAGGCGACGAUCGGUAGGUGGUCUGAGAGGACGGUCAGCCACAUUGGGACUGAGACACUGCCCAGACUCCUACGGGAGGCUGCAGUCGAGAAUCUUGGGCAAUGCACGAAAGUGUGACCCAGCGACGCCGCGUGGAGGAUGAAGGCCCUUGGGUUGUAAACUCCUUUUAAGGGAGAAGAAGGUGUGCGCAAGCAUGCUUGACGGUAUCCCUUGAAUAAGCCACGGCUAACUACGUG
This 475-nucleotide ribosomal RNA is filed under the name uncultured bacterium. RNAcentral's name for it is "bacterial SSU rRNA". It matches the Rfam family "Bacterial small subunit ribosomal RNA", at positions 30 to 507 of the family's 1533-position model. The record is from RNAcentral.